RNAcentral lists this ribosomal RNA (500 nucleotides) under uncultured bacterium. RNAcentral's name for it is "bacterial SSU rRNA". It matches the Rfam family "Bacterial small subunit ribosomal RNA", at positions 29 to 521 of the family's 1533-position model. The record is from RNAcentral.
AUUGAACGCUGGCGGCGUGCCUAACACAUGCAAGUCGAGCGGUAACAGGUGUAGCAAUACAUGCUGACGAGCGGCGGACGGGUGAGUAACGCUUGGGAAUCUGCCUAUUAGUGGGGGACAACCCGGGGAAACUCGGGCUAAUACCGCAUACGCUCUACGGAGGAAAGCCGGGGACCGCAAGGCCUGGCGCUAAUAGAUGAGCCCAAGUCGGAUUAGCUAGUUGGUAGGGUAANGGCCUACCAAGGCGACGAUCCGUAACUGGUCUGAGAGGACGACCAGUCACACCGGAACUGAGACACGGUCCGGACUCCUACGGGAGGCAGCAGUGGGGAAUAUUGGACAAUGGGCGAAAGCCUGAUCCAGCGACGCCGCGUGGGUGAAGAAGGCCUGCGGGUUGUAAAGCCCUUUCAGUGGGGAAGAAAAGCCUCGACCUAACACGUCGGGGUCUUGACGUAACCCAUAGAAGAAGCACCGGCUAACUCUGUGCCAGCAGCCGCCGU